Molecule: unclassified non-coding RNA, 295 nt
Organism: Dipodomys ordii (Ord's kangaroo rat)
Lineage: Eukaryota; Metazoa; Chordata; Mammalia; Rodentia; Heteromyidae
Gene: 7SK
Rfam family: 7SK RNA
About the family: 7SK was discovered as an abundant small nuclear RNA in the mid-70s but a possible function has only recently been suggested.
Source: Ensembl
GGAGGUGCAGAGAAUCUGGAUGUGGUGUCUGUCACCCCAUUCAUCACUGGAGUUGAUUUGGAUGGCUAAGCAGGUGUCUCCUUCCUCUUACACGGCUCUGUGUGUGUUACUCCUAUAACUACAUGCUCCAUGGAAGAGGAUGACACUCCUAACAGGUCGAAGAUAUAGGAGCGCCUUACUCUCUCCUUCUAGAAGCUCUGAACCAGCUCCCCAGUGUACAAUGCAUUUCAAAGGACAGGUCAGCAGGCCCCGAUCUCUCCAGCUCCUGCUUCACCUCUGUAGGGCUUUGAGGGCA